CCUAAGACCGUCAGUAUAUCAGAACUACUAGCUAAUGAUCACUCGGAUAUUCAACCGACAUAUCAAUAUUACCGACAUAUAGUCGACUAAUCUACUCAAUAUAUUGUAACCGUCAUAAAUGGUUAUUUGACUAUGUAUCACGGUAAUUAGUGAGAAUUAAUGACCCACUAACUCUAUAAUUAUGAUCCGAUAAUUUAGCGCCAUAAAAAAUAUGAUCACAUGCUCGACAGUUACAUUAGAAUUAUCUAUAAAAAUGGGC
This 259-nucleotide long non-coding RNA is filed under the name Elaeis guineensis (African oil palm). RNAcentral describes it as "long non-coding RNA (EGUI_LNC001601)". Lineage: Eukaryota; Viridiplantae; Streptophyta; Magnoliopsida; Arecales; Arecaceae. The record is from RNAcentral.